Molecule: unclassified non-coding RNA, 379 nt
Filed under: Melitaea cinxia (Glanville fritillary)
Lineage: Eukaryota; Metazoa; Arthropoda; Insecta; Lepidoptera; Nymphalidae
Description: misc RNA ENSMCXG00005013944.1
Source: RNAcentral
UUAAUCGAAAGGUGGUGUGUGCCAAUUGGUCCCAUUUAAAUUUAUUUGAGAUCUAACAACUACUUUUUGAGUUAUAUCUAAUAAUGCGUUUUUACUUGACGCUUUUUUCGUCGACCUACGUUGUAUUAUACCACAUAACUUUCUACUGGUGUACCGAUUUUGAUAAUUCUUUUUUUGUUGGAAAGGGGAUAUCCCUAGUUUGGAUCUGAUGAUGGGAUCCCAGAGAAAUCGAGGGAAACUCUUGAAAAUCCGCAAUAACUUUUUACUGGAUGUACCGAUUUUGAUAAUUCUUUUUUUGUUGGAAAGGGGAUAUCCCUAGUUUGGUACCAUGAUAAGGAAACAAGGAUCUGAUGAUGGGCUCCCAGAGAAAUCGAGGGAA